This 953-nucleotide non-coding RNA is filed under the name Eleotris picta (spotted sleeper). Its description in RNAcentral is "12S ribosomal RNA". It matches the Rfam family "Bacterial small subunit ribosomal RNA". Lineage: Eukaryota; Metazoa; Chordata; Actinopteri; Gobiiformes; Eleotridae. The record is from RNAcentral.
CAAAAGCUUGGUCCUGGCUUUGCUAUCAGCUUUGGCCAAAUUUACACAUGCAAGUAUCCGCCCUCCUGUGAGAAUGCCCUACAAUUUCCCCCCAGAGGGAAAAAGGAGCUGGUAUCAGGCACAACCCCUUGCUUAGCCCACAACACCUUGCUCAGCCACACCCCCAUGGGAACUCAGCAGUGAUAAACAUUAAGCCAUAAGUGAAAACUUGACUUAGUUAAAGCCAACAGAGCCAGCAAAACUCGUGCCAGCCGCCGCGGUUAUACGAGGGGCUCAAGUUGAUAGCUAUCGGCGUAAAGAGUGGUUAAGACACCCAACACUAAAGCCAAACACCUUCAAAGCUGUUAUACGCACCCGAAGACAGGAAGACCUCUCACGAAAGUAGCUUUAAAAUUUCUGAACCCACUAAAGCCAGGACACAAACUGGGAUUAGAUACCCCACUAUGCCCGGCCAUAAACAAAAGUAGCAAUAUUACCCCUGCCACUCGCCCGGGGACUACGAGCAUAAGCUUAAAACCCAAAGGACUUGGCGGUGCUUUAGACCCCCCUAGAGGAGCCUGUUCUAGAACCGAUAACCCCCGUUCAACCUCACCCUCUCUUGUUUUUCCCGCCUAUAUACCGCCGUCGUCAGCCUACCCUGUGAAGGACACAUAGUAAGCAAAAUUGGCACAACCCAAAACGUCAGGUCGAGGUGUAGCGCAUGAGAGGGGAAGAAAUGGGCUACAUUCACUGACACAGUACAUACGGACGAUGUAUUGAAACCAGACAUCUUAAGGAGGAUUUAGCAGUAAGGAGGAAAAUAGAGCGUUCCCCUGAAACUGGCCCUGAAGCGCGCACACACCGCCCGUCACUCUCCCCGAGCUUACAUUUCAAACAUAAGUAAACCCCCAUAAUUGCAAAGGGGAGGCAAGUCGUAACAUGGUAAGUGUACCGGAAGGUGCACUUGGAAAAAU